AUUGAACGCUGGCGGCAGGCCUAACACAUGCAAGUCGAACGGCAGCGGGGGGUAGCUUGCUACCCCGCCGGCGAGUGGCGGACGGGUGAGUAAUGCCUGGGGAGCUGCCCAAUCGAGGGGGAUACCAGUUGGAAACGACUGCUAAUACCGCAUACGCCCUGAGGGGGAAAGGUGGGGAUCUUCGGACCUACCGCGAUUGGAUGCACCCAGGUGGGAUUAGCUAGUUGGUGAGGUAACGGCUCACCAAGGCGACGAUCUCUAGCUGGCCUGAGAGGAUGACCAGCCACACUGGAACUGAGACACGGUCCAGACUCCUACGGGAGGCAGCAGUGGGGAAUAUUGCACAAUGGGGGAAACGCUGAUGCAGCCAUGCCGCGUGUGUGAAGAAGGCCUUAGGGUUGUAAAGCACUUUCAGUGGGGAGGAAAGGGUGGAAGCUAAUACCUUUCAUCUGUGACGUUACCCACAGAAGAAGCACCGGCUAACUCCGUGCCAGCCGCCGCCGUAA
Molecule: ribosomal RNA, 506 nt
Filed under: uncultured bacterium
Lineage: Bacteria
Description: partial 16S ribosomal RNA
Rfam family: Bacterial small subunit ribosomal RNA
Source: RNAcentral